This 283-nucleotide ribosomal RNA is filed under the name uncultured bacterium. RNAcentral's name for it is "partial 16S ribosomal RNA". It matches the Rfam family "Bacterial small subunit ribosomal RNA", at positions 123 to 406 of the family's 1533-position model. The record is from RNAcentral.
AACGUGCCCAAUCGUGGGGGAUAACGUAGAGAAAUUUACGCUAAUACCGCAUAAGAUCUAAGGAUGAAAGCGGGGGACCCGUAAGGGCCUCGCGCGAUUCGAGCGGCUGAUAUCAGAUUAGGUAGUUGGUGUGGUAAAAGCGCACCAAGCCGACGAUCUGUAGCUGGUUUGAGAGAACGACCAGCCACACUGGGACUGAGACACGGCCCAGACUCCUACGGGAGGCAGCAGUGGGGAAUUUUGGACAAUGGGCGAAAGCCUGAUCCAGCAAUGCCGCGUGCAG